Molecule: long non-coding RNA, 1159 nt
Organism: Salvelinus sp. IW2-2015
Lineage: Eukaryota; Metazoa; Chordata; Actinopteri; Salmoniformes; Salmonidae
Source: RefSeq, a predicted model, not a curated record
GACAAUAUGAGUCAAGAGGGAAACGUUGUUGGAUGAAAUCGAACAGAGUUUAUGGACUUUAACUGAGGACAAUUUACGGCACCUGUGUGUAGUUGUGGAAUAGGAGGUGUAGAUGACUGAAGUAAAAGGAAAGAACCAUCGCGCUUUGCGGCGCAAAUUGAUGGAAGAUUACUGUGAGAAGGAAGAUUUAAUGGAAUCAGAGGAUGAGGGCAUGUCUUGCCUGCUUCAACUGAAAGGCGAAAUCAAAGGACUAUCGGACUCUGAGGAUACUGUGAAAGUCUGCCUUACAAAUCCCAGCCAGUCGGCGCCAACGAGGCAAGUGGACAGCAAUAUGGAACGCCGUUUGGGUCUUUGCGUGUCAAAAAGAUACACGUCAAAUAACACUAUUUGACACGCCAAAUAAGCUUCUUUAGCAAUCAGGACCUGAAUAUGACUCCAGGUCACACAAUAAUUUAACACGUUCAUUAAUUUUGUACGUAGUUAUUGCACAUUGAUUACACUCUCACUCGUAUUUCAUAUSCCACAAAGAUUCACCGAUACAAAUGCUAUGAGUCAAAGAUUUUGUCACUGAUGAUCACAUUUGCUUAAAGGUCGUUUGGACUCUGCCCAAGUCUCAGGUACUGAUGAUAGACGUUCACUCAACUUCUGUUCUUCCGAGGUAAAAUUAGCUAGCUAGUUAACAAUAGCAGCCCAAUUUCUCGAAAAUUGUAAAUCUACCAUCUCUGAUUGCACACCAGACUGCUGCUCACGGACAGAAGAGAUGGACUUCAACCAUCAAUAGCCAGGCUAGAGACCAUGUUGCGGAGCCUUCGGUGGGCAAGUGGUCAUUUGAUUGAUGAAGAGAUGGCCAGCAAUCUAAUUGCUGUUGCKGAGGAGUUCCUACAAGAGGCAAAUGACAUCCAACAACGGGAACCUUACGAAAAUGCCAAUGUCCUGUCAAGCGCCUUUGGAGGGGAGGCGGUAUCACAUCACCAAGGAGCAGCUUGAGUUCCUCAUAGAUUGUCAUAUGACCAUCAGACAAAUGGCAGAUGUUCUCAAUGAGUCGCACUCUGUGGUCAAGUUGCGCAUGAGGUGUAGGAUUGUUAUCCAUGGUGCUGUGGAUGGUUACAGCAGACUUGUUGUGUUUCUGAAGGCCUCUGACAACAACAGGACCGCCACA